AUUGAACGCUGGCGGCAUGCUUUACACAUGCAAGUCGAACGGUAACAGGCCUUCGGGUGCUGACGAGUGGCGAACGGGUGAGUAAUGCAUCGGAACGUGCCCAAUCGUGGGGGAUAACGUAGCGAAAGUUACGCUAAUACCGCAUAAGCCCUGAGGGGGAAAGUGGGGGACCGCAAGGCCUCACGCGAAUGGAGCGGCCGAUGUCAGAUUAGCUAGUUGGUGGGGUAAAGGCUCACCAAGGCGACGAUCUGUAGCGGGUCUGAGAGGAUGAUCCGCCACACUGGGACUGAGACACGGCCCAGACUCCUACGGGAGGCAGCAGUGGGGAAUUUUGGACAAUGGGCGCAAGCCUGAUCCAGCCAUGCCGCGUGCGGGACGAAGGCCUCGGUUGUAACC
Molecule: ribosomal RNA, 396 nt
Filed under: uncultured bacterium
Lineage: Bacteria
Description: bacterial SSU rRNA
Rfam family: Bacterial small subunit ribosomal RNA
Source: RNAcentral